Molecule: ribosomal RNA, 253 nt
Filed under: uncultured bacterium
Lineage: Bacteria
Description: partial 16S ribosomal RNA
Rfam family: Bacterial small subunit ribosomal RNA
Source: RNAcentral
UACGUAGGGUGCGAGCGUUAAUCGGAAUUACUGGGCGUAAAGCGUGCGCAGGCGGUUUUGUAAGCCAGAUGUGAAAUCCCCGGGCUUAACCUGGGAAUGGCAUUUGGGACUGCAAGGCUUGAGUGCGGCAGAGGAGACUGGAAUUCCUGGUGUAGCAGUGAAAUGCGUAGAUAUCAUGAGGAAUACCAGAGGCGAAGGCGGCUACCUGGACCAGCACUGACACUGAGACACGAAAGCGUGGGGAGCAAACAGG